GACGGAGGAUGCAAGCGUUGUUCGGAAUUACUGGGCGUAAAGGGCGCGUAGGCGGUCAGUUAAGUCCCAUGUGAAAGCCCGGGGCUUAACGCCGGCAUGGCCUGGGAAACUGUCGGUCUAGAGUACAGGAGAGGUGAGUGGAAUUCCUAGUGUAGCGGUGAAAUGCGUAGAUAUCAGGAAGAACACCAGUGGCGAAGGCGGCUUACUGGCCCGAGACUGACGCUGAGGCUCGAAAGCUUGGGGAGCAAACAGG
This 253-nucleotide ribosomal RNA is filed under the name uncultured bacterium. RNAcentral's name for it is "partial 16S ribosomal RNA". It matches the Rfam family "Bacterial small subunit ribosomal RNA", at positions 524 to 776 of the family's 1533-position model. The record is from RNAcentral.